AACCCACAUCUCCGCCAAAUCUCCCACCCCCUAAAAAAGGAAAAAACCCUAAGACGUCGACUUCUCUAAACAGUUCGUAUAAACCUAAAAAGCCCAAAGAUGUCGACUUCUCUAACAGUUCGAUUGUAAACCUUUGUUUUGAACGAAUUAGCAGAGAACUGCUUCGACAAAUUCAAAUAAUUAGAGAAACUGCUCUACUCGUAAAAUUCAGAGAAUUAGCGAACGAAGCUGCUCGCCACCUCCAUUGACAACAACUGCUCAUCUUCGAGUUUCUUCUCAUCAAGGGCUUGCGCGGAAGGUUCUAUUGCAGAGGGAUAUUUAGCAACUGAAUGUAUGACCUUAUGUUCAAGGUGUAUACAUACAAUGGAAAUAAAGUUUAAUCACCUUGAACGAAAUUAUGAUGGUGGUAUUAUAGAAUCUGAUGGAGGUUUAACAAUAUUUUGUCAACCUGGAAGAGCUUUAAGAGGUGGCAAAUGACGCAAACUUGAUUCAAAUGAACUAGAGCAAGCACAUAUUUAUAUUUUGUAGAAUUGUGAUGAAUUUCAACCAUUUCUCGAGAGACAAGUACAAGAAACUCGGUCAAUAGGUCUAAGUUGAGUAUGCAUCAUCGUACGGGUAGUAAACCAAUUAGGGAGAUCAUUUAUGAAUUGGGAGGUAAAUAUGGUAAUCCACCAGAUGUGGCAACUUUUUUUUUGAGACUCGUAAGAAGAACAACACGCUUUUCGAACCUGAAACCAAUGAGAAAUAUGAUAAAAUCAAAGAAUUGGUGCAAUCUGAAUCGUCUCUUGCAAACAUUGAGGUUGUAGAAAAGUGCUUUGGACCUCAACGAAAGAGUCAUUUAGCUGGAUUUGGUGGUGGGAUAACCGCUAAGGAGUUGAAAGGUGGUAACUCCUCUAAAACUGCAUUGUUGGAAAAGCUGAAUGCUACUGUAAAAAAAAUAUGAAUCACUAAAAGGACGUUUGGAAGGGCGAGAGAGUAAAUAUGAUGAGCUAGGGAGUAAAUAUGCACAACUUACAAAGAUAGUCUUUGAUCAGUCUUCAUCACCAUCUUCAAGUGAUCAAUAGAUUGAAUCAUAAAACAGAUCAAAAAUUUGAAGUCUGAAGAACCUAUCCUUGAAGAAAGUGUAGAGCAAGUUGAAGUACAAGAGGUUUUUGGUUCGUCAACGAUGGUUUAAAGACGUUGUCUUAUGUACAUAUAUAUGCUUCAAUUUUACUUUUUUUCUUUUGAGGAAUUAUUUAAAAUGAUGAUUAACUCAUCUCACUUUAUGCUUCCAGUUAUCUCCUGGCUGGGUUUGCGUUAUUUUUACUUUUCAUUGUUUUAGUAAGAUGGAGUUUCUUACAAUUUGGAUUGUUUUCUGGUAAAUAUGAUACUUUAGUUCUUUGUAUUAAUAAGAUAUCAAGUAUUUGGUUUA
Molecule: non-coding RNA, 1411 nt
Organism: Nicotiana tabacum (common tobacco)
Lineage: Eukaryota; Viridiplantae; Streptophyta; Magnoliopsida; Solanales; Solanaceae
Source: RefSeq, a predicted model, not a curated record